AGAGCGAACGCUGGCGGCAGGCCUAAUACAUGAAAGUCGAACGCACCUUCGGGUGAGUGGCGGACGGGUGAGUAACACGUGGGAACGUGCCCUUUGGUUCGGAAUAAUCCGGGGAAACCUGGCCUAAUACCGGAUGUGCCCUUCGGGGGAAAGAUUUAUCGCCAUUGGAGCGGCCCGCGUCUGAUUAGCUAGUUGGUGGGUAAAGGCCCACCAAGGCGACGAUCAGUAGCUGGUCUGAGAGGAUGAUCAGCCACACUGGGACUGAGACACGGCCCAGACUCCUACGGGAGGCAGCAGUAGGGAAUCUUGCGCAAUGGGCGAAAGCCUGACGCAGCCAUGCCGCGUGAAUGAUGAAGGUCUUAGGAUUGUAAAAUUCUUUCAGCGGGGAAGAUAAUGACUGUACCCGCAGAAGAAGCUCCGGCUAACUUCGCGCCAGCAGCCGC
Molecule: ribosomal RNA, 443 nt
Filed under: uncultured bacterium
Lineage: Bacteria
Description: SSU rRNA
Rfam family: Bacterial small subunit ribosomal RNA
Source: RNAcentral